Molecule: long non-coding RNA, 1704 nt
Organism: Scylla paramamosain (green mud crab)
Lineage: Eukaryota; Metazoa; Arthropoda; Malacostraca; Decapoda; Portunidae
Exons: 4
Source: RefSeq, a predicted model, not a curated record
AGUACCGCUGCAUGUUUUAUAAUGUUUUUCUAAUGUAGUUCUAAGUAUAAUAUCACAUUCACGGUGUAAUGUUUUCCAGCAUUUCCCGAAAUUACUUUACUGCAGCAUCCUGUCAUGAUUAUACCUGACAUUUUUGUAAUAUAUAUAAUAUACGGCUUAAAUGGUUUUAUUUUUAAGCGCGGAGAUUAAAUGGUACGGAUGUUAUUUUUACUUUAUUAUUAUUACUAGCUUCUUCAUACACUUAUUUACUCAUUAUUAAAUAUCUUCCUUAUUUAUAUUUCCUCUUAUAUUUAGAUUUUCUCUUACACCUGUUUACUUAUUAUUUAUUAUUUACUUCGUUCAUACCUCGUUCGCUUCUCUGUUCCUUUAUAUUCCAGAGACAUUCUUUCCCUUCCCUUCUUUCAUUCCUUCCCUUCUCUUCCCUUCCCUUCCAUUCCUCACAUUCUUUCCUUUACAUACCUUCCUUUUCUUUUCUUUCCUUUACCUUCAUUCCCUUUCCUUUCCCUCUUCUUCCUCCAUGUAUUAAUUAUUUCCCAUCUUCCCCUAUCCUUCUUGUUUUCUUUUGGUACUUCUUCCCUUCCUUACUUUUCUUCCAUCAUUUUAUUAUUCGCAUACUUUCCAAUCUUUCCUGUGUCUCCUUUCGUACUUCUCUCCUCUCUUUCUUAGUCUUCCUUUCCCUUCAUCUUCCUAUUCUUUUACCCAUGCUCCUCUUUUCUCCCCCUUUCUCACCAUCACGUCUUUUCCUCCUUCCUUUCUUUCCCUCUAUUUCUUGCUUUCGUUUCAGACCCUAACAGAAAUCGAUCUCAAGGAUGCGGGCGCAGGCGGAAGGAUGGAAGAGGGAGGGAAGGAAAACGAGGAAGAAGCCAAGGGGGUCAGAACGAAGCGGAAAAAAGUCAAGAGGAAAAGAAUAAAGGAGGGAAGGUGAGGUGGUGGCAGACCCUGCCACUGCACCACUACUGCUUCCGUCUUCACCAGUGUGAGGUGCGGCGAGGAUGGUGUUUGUCCCGCAGGCAGCUGAUGCCUCAGGUAACGACACGAGGCUCCAGAAAAGAGUGGCGCGAUACAUAAGAGUGUGUAAGAAGUUUGGCAGCCUCCCUGUGUCUCGUGUGUCGCGGGGCCGCCAUGCAGGUCUUCCCUCGCUCCGUGAUGAGGUGGUGCAGCGCCUCGGCAAAGUUAUUCUGCAAGUCUCAAACAUGAAAGCCGCGCAGACCAAAGCCACUUCAUGGAGCCCUCACGCCAGCUGCUUUAGAUUGGCCCCGCUGCUCCACCUAACACAACCACCCCGCCCAUCCAUGGUUGGGUACAGAGCACCACCUGGUGUUCUGCUGUCUAUAGAAAUUCAUUAUACAUUUCUCUCUCCCUCUCUCUCUCUCUCUCUCUCUCUCUCUCUCUCUCUCUCUCUCUCUCUCUCUCUCUCUCUCUCUCUCUCUCUCUCUCUCUCUCUCUCUCUCUCUCUCUCUCUCUCUCUCUCUCUCUCUCUCUCUCUCUCUCUCUCUCUCUCUCUCUCUCACAUACACACACACACACACACACACACACACACACACACACACACACACACACACACACACACACACACACACACACACACACACACACACCUUUGCUUAUAUCAACCCCCGUCACACGCAGUUUUAUAGAUAUCCAAUCACUCGUGAAAUGUAAUAUGACACUCAAUGGUGGAAACAAAUCACAGAUGGUGAC